UGGGCUUGACAUGCAGGGUGAAACCCGUGAAAGCGGGUGCUCUUCGGAGCCUGCACAGGUGGUGCAUGGCUGUCGUCAGCUCGUGCCGUGAGGUGUUGCCUUAAGUGGCGCAACGAGCGCAACCCCUGUCCUUAGUUGCCAGCGGAUGAUGCCGGGAACUCUAGGGAGACUGCCGGUGCCAAACCGGAGGAAGGUGGGGAUGACGUCGAAUACGUAAC
This 218-nucleotide unclassified non-coding RNA is filed under the name uncultured Actinomycetes bacterium. RNAcentral's name for it is "uncultured actinobacterium contains 16S-23S intergenic spacer region". It matches the Rfam family "Bacterial small subunit ribosomal RNA", at positions 976 to 1199 of the family's 1533-position model. Lineage: Bacteria; Bacillati; Actinomycetota; Actinomycetes. The record is from RNAcentral.